GAGGAAAAGAAAUCAACCGAGAUUCCCCCAGUAGCGGCGAGCGAACGGGGAGCAGCCCAGAGCCUGAAUCAGUGUGUGUGUUAGUGGAAGUGUCUGGAAAGGCGCGCGAUACAGGGUGACAGCCCCGUACACAAAAAUGCACAUACUGUGAGCUCGAUGAGUAGGGCGGGACACGUGGUAUCCUGUCUGAAUAUGGGGGGACCAUCCUCCAAGGCUAAAUACUCCUGACUGACCGAUAGUGAACCAGUACCGUGAGGGAAAGGCGAAAAGAACCCCGGCGAGGGGAGUGAAAAAGAACCUGAAACCGUGUACGUACAAGCAGUGGGAGCACGCUUCGGCGUGUGACUGCGUACCUUUUGUAUAAUGGGUCAGCGACUUAUAUUCUGUAGCAAGGUUAACCGAAUAGGGGAGCCGAAGGGAAACCGAGUCUUAACUGGGCGUUAAGUUGCAGGGUAUAGACCCGAAACCCGGUGAUCUAGCCAUGGGCAGGUUGAAGGUUGGGUAACACUAACUGGAGGACCGAACCGACUAAUGUUGAAAAAUUAGCGGAUGACUUGUGGCUGGGGGUGAAAGGCCAAUCAAACCGGGAGAUAGCUGGUUCUCCCCGAAAGCUAUUUAGGUAGCGCCUCGUGAAUUCAUCUCCGGGGGUAGAGCACUGUUUCGGCAAGGGGGUCAUCCCGACUUACCAACCCGAUGCAAACUGCGAAUACCGGAGAAUGUUAUCACGGGAGACACACGGCGGGUGCUAACGUCCGUCGUGAAGAGGGAAACAACCCAGACCGCCAGCUAAGGUCCCAAAGUCAUGGUUAAGUGGGAAACGAUGUGGGAAGGCCCAGACAGCCAGGAUGUUGGCUUAGAAGCAGCCAUCAUUUAAAGAAAGCGUAAUAGCUCACUGGUCGAGUCGGCCUGCGCGGAAGAUGUAACGGGGCUAAACCAUGCACCGAAGCUGCGGCAGCGACACUAUGUGUUGUUGGGUAGGGGAGCGUUCUGUAAGCCUGUGAAGGUGUACUGUGAGGUAUGCUGGAGGUAUCAGAAGUGCGAAUGCUGACAUAAGUAACGAUAAAGCGGGUGAAAAGCCCGCUCGCCGGAAGACCAAGGGUUCCUGUCCAACGUUAAUCGGGGCAGGGUGAGUCGACCCCUAAGGCGAGGCCGAAAGGCGUAGUCGAUGGGAAACAGGUUAAUAUUCCUGUACUUGGUGUUACUGCGAAGGGGGGACGGAGAAGGCUAUGUUGGCCGGGCGACGGUUGUCCCGGUUUAAGCGUGUAGGCUGGUUUUCCAGGCAAAUCCGGAAAAUCAAGGCUGAGGCGUGAUGACGAGGCACUACGGUGCUGAAGCAACAAAUGCCCUGCUUCCAGGAAAAGCCUCUAAGCAUCAGGUAACAUCAAAUCGUACCCCAAACCGACACAGGUGGUCAGGUAGAGAAUACCAAGGCGCUUGAGAGAACUCGGGUGAAGGAACUAGGCAAAAUGGUGCCGUAACUUCGGGAGAAGGCACGCUGAUAUGUAGGUGAAGCGACUUGCUCGUGGAGCUGAAAUCAGUCGAAGAUACCAGCUGGCUGCAACUGUUUAUUAAAAACACAGCACUGUGCAAACACGAAAGUGGACGUAUACGGUGUGACGCCUGCCCGGUGCCGGAAGGUUAAUUGAUGGGGUUAGCGGUAACGCGAAGCUCUUGAUCGAAGCCCCGGUAAACGGCGGCCGUAACUAUAACGGUCCUAAGGUAGCGAAAUUCCUUGUCGGGUAAGUUCCGACCUGCACGAAUGGCGUAAUGAUGGCCAGGCUGUCUCCACCCGAGACUCAGUGAAAUUGAACUCGCUGUGAAGAUGCAGUGUACCCGCGGCAAGACGGAAAGACCCCGUGAACCUUUACUAUAGCUUGACACUGAACAUUGAGCCUUGAUGUGUAGGAUAGGUGGGAGGCUUUGAAGUGUGG
Molecule: ribosomal RNA, 1931 nt
Filed under: Escherichia coli
Lineage: Bacteria; Pseudomonadati; Pseudomonadota; Gammaproteobacteria; Enterobacterales; Enterobacteriaceae
Description: partial 23S ribosomal RNA
Rfam family: Bacterial large subunit ribosomal RNA
Source: RNAcentral